Molecule: transfer RNA, 63 nt
Filed under: Japyx solifugus
Lineage: Eukaryota; Metazoa; Arthropoda; Diplura; Dicellurata; Japygidae
Description: tRNA-Thr
Rfam family: tRNA
About the family: Transfer RNA (tRNA) molecules are approximately 80 nucleotides in length. Their secondary structure includes four short double-helical elements and three loops (D, anti-codon, and T loops).
Source: RNAcentral
GUUUUAGUAGUUUAAACAAAACACUGGUCUUGUAAACCAGAAAUGGGAUAAUCCCUAAAUCAU